Molecule: long non-coding RNA, 2728 nt
Filed under: Gossypium barbadense (sea-island cotton)
Lineage: Eukaryota; Viridiplantae; Streptophyta; Magnoliopsida; Malvales; Malvaceae
Description: long non-coding RNA (GBAR_LNC021402)
Source: RNAcentral
CACAAACCAUUCAUGAAGCAUUAUUAACUAUUUACCAAUCACUUAAUCCUGCAUUAGUUAUUAGCUCAUCAAUGAAUCUCAAUUCAAUCUCUAGGCAUACAUGUUGUAAGCCACAUCACAAGAGAUAAUAACAUACAUGCAUAAGAAUAAUCAUAUGGCCCAUAACGAUAUUAGCCGACAUAGGCCAAUUUACAUGACUAAUACUACCUUAAUAACAAGCCAAUGCCUUUGGCUAAAUCAUAAUAUUACAUACUCAUAUUAAAACCCUAUACAUGCCAUAGACUAGAAUCACUUGAGUUUACUUACGCCGAUAGCGUUAACUCGACAGUGUGAUAAUAUCUCUGACGGCCUUCAACCCGAGCUAACCUGGAAACUCUAGAAAACAUGGGAAAGAAGGGGGGGUAAGCUUUCGCUUAGUAAGUUCAUAUGAAAACAAUAAGCAACUCAUUAACUUGUUUUAUCAAUGUUUACAACAUAUUCUCAAGUUCACUGCAAGCUGUCUUCCUGAGCAAUAGUCACUAAAUUAUUUAUAUCUGGAGCUACGAAACUCCAAAUUAAGUUCCGUUAAUUUUCCCUGAAACUAGACUCAUUUAUCUUUCUUUCAUAAAAUUUCCAGAAUUUUUGACUUAGCCAAUUAGUACAGUUUACUCCUCAAGUUUGCUCCUGAUUCACUGUCUGACAGUUUCAACCCUUCUUCACUAAAGUUCAAUUAUCUCAUAGUACAGGAUUCGAAUAAUGUUCUCGUCUAUUUAUCUUGAAACUAUACUCAUAUGUAUACUUACUAAUUUUUUUCUAGAAUUUUUGGUCAAGCCAUUUAGUACAGUUUAUUAGUUAAAGUCUCCCCUGUUUCAGGGUAUGACCACUCUGACCCUUGUGCACUACAAACCGAAUUUCUCCCUGUACAAAAUUCCAACGACGAUUCCAUUUUUUUCCCUUAAAAUAGACUCAAUAAGGAAUCCAUUCAUGUAAGGUAUGACUCUUAAUAAUUUUUUUACAAUUUAUGAUGAAUUUCUAAAGUUAGAACGGGGAUCUCGAAUUCAUUCAAACCCUGUUUUACAAGAAUUCAAAUAUCACACAAUAUAGAAUUCUUUUUCUUCCUCUGUUUCUUUCAUGUGAAAAUAGACUCAUUGAGAUUUAAUCUCAUAUUUUAUUCUGCCUCUAACUAAUUUUCCACUAUUUUUAGUGUAUUUUCAAAGUUACAUUACUACAGUAACUCAAAUCUGUCAAGGCUAAGUUACUCAUUCAUGAUCAUUGUUCACAAAAUUAAUACAACAUCAUUUCAUCCAUCAUGGUAAGAACACAUAUUAUGCAUCAUAGAUCAUCACAUAUCAAGGCAUUCUCAUAGGCUUAAUAUACAUACUUGCACAACUCGUAACAUAACUCAAGUGUAUACUCACCAAUGACUUACCUCGUUGGGACCAUCAUCAACUCUUUCCUUGGAUUACCCGUUGAACACUUGGAAUACUAAUUGGAUACUCGGAAAAGCCUUUGCACAUAAGUGCCUCAAUUGUAGCUAAAGCUACCUCAUAUCUCAUGACGUUUCAAUGCUCACUCUCGAGCUAGUCAUCUAGACUCAUAAUUCCUAGUGACAUGUCACUCGUAUCCUAUUCUAUUUCUAAGGUUCAAACGGGAUUUUUCCUCGUCUAUUAAGGCUUUGUCUUAUCAUAUUUCUAUUAAUCACAUACACUUAAUAUCUGUACAAUUCAUGUCAUGAUAACAUUUAAAUACAUGUAUAGCAUGGUAUUGUUUACAUACAAACUUACCUCGAUACCACAAAGGUGAAAAGGACAUAAUCAUCCCUUAAUCGAUUUCUUUCUGUUCUAGGUCCAAAUCUCGAUUUUCUUGAUCUAUAAUAUCACAUUUAGCCUACCAAUCAGUCACAAUAUUCAUAUGGGUAUAAAAAUCAUAUUUUUACAAAUUUCCAUUUUGACCCCUAAACUUUUGCAUAUUUGCACUUUUGCCUCAAUGCUCGUAAAAUAAUUUUUAUCACAUUUCUUUACUCCUUGAGUCUAGAUGAACCAUUUUCAUAACUAUAGCAACUCAUAAUUUCAACUAUUUUACACAUUACAACUUAUUUUACAACUUAGCAAUCUAGCCCUUUUUUAAGGUGUUUUCAUGUAAUUUCUUUCACAAAAGUUGUUUAUUAGACAACUAGGACUCAUAAUCUUCCAUAAAAACACAGAAAACAACACAUUUACUCUCAUGGCAAAACCCUAGACUCUUCAUCAUUUUGCAAAAUAGUCCCCUCUUAUGAAAGCUCAUGCUUUAGGGGUUCCAAAAAUGUAAAAAUCAUCAAGCAAAGACAUUAAAAUCACUUACAAGCAAGGGAAAUAUGUUGCUGAAAUUUUCCAGCUUCAAAACCCUUUCUUUGCUGCAUAUUUCGGUGAAGGAGAAGAGAAAAAUGAUAGCUUUUUCUUUUUGAUUUGUUAAUAAUAAAACUAGUCAAAAUUGGUGACCAAAUUUCACCUAAUUUUGACUUUUCAACAAUUUUGUCUCCCAUGGCCGGCCAUCACACUUUCAAUGGCCUAAUUUCACUUUAAAGACCCCCAAUUUAAGAUACAAGGCAAUUUAACACACCUUUAGGUAUUAAAACACAACUUUUACCUUUUACGCGAUUUAGUCCUUUUUCGGAAUUGGACUAGAAAUUGCUAAAAUUAACUUACCAAAAUUUACAUGCACUUAUAAAAUUAUAUUAUAACACAUAAAAUAAUACUAAAAUAAUUUUAUC